RNAcentral lists this ribosomal RNA (279 nucleotides) under uncultured bacterium. RNAcentral's name for it is "partial 16S ribosomal RNA". It matches the Rfam family "Bacterial small subunit ribosomal RNA", at positions 506 to 784 of the family's 1533-position model. The record is from RNAcentral.
UGCCAGCCGCCGCGGUAAUACGGAGGGGGUUAGCGUUGUUCGGAAUUACUGGGCGUAAAGCGCACGUAGGCGGACUGGAAAGUUUGAUGUGAAAGCUCCGGGCUUAACCCGGAAAAUGCAUUGAAUACUUCUCGGCUAGAGGAUCGGAGGGGAAACUGGAAUUCUUGGUGUAGCAGUGAAAUGCAUAGAUAUCAAGAGGAACAUCAGUGGCGAAGGCGAGUUUCUGGACGAUUCCUGACACUGAGGCACGAAGGCUAGGGGAGCAAACAGGAUUAGAUA